AUUGAACGCUGGCGGCAUGCUUUACACAUGCAAGUCGAACGGUAACAGGCCGCAAGGUGCUGACGAGUGGCGCACGGGGGAGUAAUGCAUCGGAACGAGCCCAGUCGCGGGGGAUAACUACUCGAAAGAGCAGCUAAUACCGCAUACGAUCUAUGGAUUAAAGCGGGGGACCGUAAUGCCUCGUGUGAUUGGAGCGGCCGAGUUCGGAUUAGGUAGGUCGUGGGGUAAAGGCUCACCAAGCCAACGAUCUGUAGCGGCACUGAGAGGACGAGCAGCCACCCUGGGACUGAGACACGGCCCAGACUCCUACGGGAGGCAGCCGUGGGGAAUUUUGGGCAAUGGGCGCAAGCCUGAUCCAGCAAUGCCGCGUGCAGGAAGAAGGCCUUCGGGUUGUAAACUGCUUUUGUACGGAACGAAACGGCUCUGGUUAAUACCCGGAGCUAAUGACGGUACCGUAAGAAUAAGCACCGGCUAACUACGUG
Molecule: ribosomal RNA, 482 nt
Filed under: uncultured bacterium
Lineage: Bacteria
Description: partial 16S ribosomal RNA
Rfam family: Bacterial small subunit ribosomal RNA
Source: RNAcentral